This 947-nucleotide small RNA is filed under the name Pongo abelii (Sumatran orangutan). RNAcentral's name for it is "retained intron". Lineage: Eukaryota; Metazoa; Chordata; Mammalia; Primates; Hominidae. The record is from RNAcentral.
UGUGGCCCCCGUUCUGCCCUGCCCCCUGGCGGCACAGCCCUCGGUCCGGGCCCUGGGCAGGGAGCAGGCCGCCACCCUGCGCUGACCGUGCUGCCGGGUGCUGUCUGUCUGUUAUAUAGCCCUGUCAGUCUGCUAUAAGGCCGGACCGGGGGCGGACAACGGCGAGGAAGGGGAAAUAGAAGAGGAAAUGGAGAAUCCGGAAAUGGUGGACCUGCCUGAGAAACUAAAGCACCAGCUGCGGCAUCGGGAGCUGUUCCUCUCCCGGCAGCUGGAGUCUCUGCCCGCCACGCACAUCAGGUAGCCCCCAGCAGCUCCCGCCCUGGGCCCCUCGGGCUGCCCUCGCCUUUCCAGCCUGCCCGUCCUUCUCUUCCAGGGGCAAGUGCAGCGUCACCCUGCUCAACGAGACCGAGUCGCUCAAGUCCUACCUGGAGCGGGAGGAUUUCUUCUUCUAUUCUCUAGUCUACGACCCACAGCAGAAGACCCUGCUGGCAGAUAAAGGAGAGAUUCGAGUAGGAAACCGGUACCAGGCAGACAUCACCGACUUGUUAAAAGAAGGCGAGGAGGAUGGCCGAGACCAGUCCAAGCUGGAGACCAAGGUGUGGGAGGCGCACAACCCACUCACAGACAAGCAGAUCGACCAGUUCCUGGUGGUGGCCCGCUCUGUGGGCACCUUCGCACGGGCCCUGGACUGCAGCAGCUCCGUCCGACAGCCCAGCCUGCACAUGAGCGCCGCAGCUGCCUCCCGAGACAUCACCCUCUUCCACGCCAUGGACACUCUCCAUAAGAACAUCUACGACAUCUCCAAGGCCAUCUCGGCGCUGGUGCCACAGGGCGGGCCCGUGCUCUGCAGGGACGAGAUGGAGGAAUGGUCUGCAUCAGAGGCCAACCUUUUCGAGGAAGCCCUAGAAAAAUAUGGGAAGGAUUUCACGGACAUUCAGCAAGAUUUU